GAGUACGGGGCUCGUGCCUGAGCAGGUGUCCAGAGGGCCACAGGGGCUCAGUCUCGCUGAGGACACUCGAGACCGCGUGGAAUCCGCCGCAGCACUGUCCCCAAGAGGCGAGAAGGUGGGGUGCGCACCCAGCCCGCCCACCGCACCCACAGCCCCGGAAAGCUCCACUGCCCAUACCUCAAUGAAAGCUUCUUAACUCGGGUGAUUCACACCAGCUCCUCGGGGAUUCACAGAAGCAAGAGCCCAGAGAAUGUUGACAGAUGAAAGAGCCCCUGGCCGAAAGCCUGGAGCCAAAGCCUGAGAGGCCCUCUCUCUCUUUCACUCACUGACACAACAAUGUGUGUUUGUUUUGUUUUGUUUUUUCUUUUUUCUUUUUGGUACCGGGGAUCUAACUCGGGUCCUUGCACUUGCGCAGCAGGCGGCGAAACCACUGAGCUAAAUCCCCGGCCCAAUAUCCACCUGGGUUAUCAGGCUCCUGAGUCCAGUAUAAAUUUACUCCUAAUGAUUUCAAACCCAUCAGUAAAAUAUGAAGAUGCUGUGGAACCUGUGUGUACCACGAUGAGGGGCUUGGCAGCCUGUGGGAGCUGUAUGGGGUGCAGGGCAGUGCAUGAAGCUGGAGCCCAAGAGGCAGUGAUGCCGGGAAUGCAGGACCCUGG
Long non-coding RNA from Heterocephalus glaber (naked mole-rat), 656 nucleotides. RefSeq lists it as uncharacterized. NCBI's taxonomy places the organism in Eukaryota, Metazoa, Chordata, Mammalia, Rodentia, Bathyergidae. The record is from RefSeq and is a predicted model, not a curated record.